This 377-nucleotide ribosomal RNA is filed under the name uncultured Glomeromycotina. Its description in RNAcentral is "SSU rRNA". It matches the Rfam family "Eukaryotic small subunit ribosomal RNA", at positions 569 to 952 of the family's 1831-position model. The record is from RNAcentral. Lineage: Eukaryota; Fungi; Glomeromycota.
AGCAGCCGCGGUAAUUCCAGCUCCAAUAGCGUAUAUUAAAGUUGUUGCAGUUAAAAAGCUCGUAGUUGAAUUUCGGGAUCAAAUUGUCGGUCGUGCCUCGGUACGCACUGGCGUUAUUGGUUCCUCCCUUCUGAAGAACCGCGAUGUCAUUAAUUUGGUGUCGCGGGGAAUCAGGACUGUUACUUUGAAAAAUUAGAGUGUUUAAAGCAAGCUCGCGCUUGAAUACAUUAGCAUGGAAUAAUGAAAUAGGACGUUUGAUUCUAUUUUGUUGGUUUCUAGGAUCGACGUAAUGAUUAAUAGGGAUAGUUGGGGGCAUUAGUAUUCAAUUGUCAGAGGUGAAAUUCUUGGAUUUAUUGAAGACUAACUACUGCGAAAGC